UACCAGCACCCCGAGUGGUCGGGAUGAUUAUUGGGCCUAAAGCAUCCGUAGCCGGUUCUACAAGUCUUCCGUUAAAUCCACCUGCUUAACAGUUGGGCUGCGGGAGAUACUGUAGGACUAGGAGGCGGGAGAGGCGAGGGGUAUUCCUUGGGUAGGGGUAAAAUCCUCUGAUCCAUGGAGGACCACCAGUGGCGAAGGCGUCUCGCCAGAACGCGCUCGACGGUGAGGGAUGAAAGCUGGGGGAGCAAACCGG
RNAcentral lists this ribosomal RNA (253 nucleotides) under uncultured prokaryote. RNAcentral describes it as "partial 16S ribosomal RNA". It matches the Rfam family "Archaeal small subunit ribosomal RNA", at positions 474 to 727 of the family's 1478-position model. The record is from RNAcentral.